RNAcentral lists this ribosomal RNA (302 nucleotides) under uncultured bacterium. RNAcentral's name for it is "partial 16S ribosomal RNA". It matches the Rfam family "Bacterial small subunit ribosomal RNA", at positions 508 to 809 of the family's 1533-position model. The record is from RNAcentral.
GCAGUCGCCACGGGAAUACAGAGGGUGCGAGCGUUAAUCGGAUUUACUGGGCGUAAAGCGUGCGUAGGCGGCUUCUUAAGUCGGAUGUGAAAUCCCUGAGCUUAACUUAGGAAUUGCAUUCGAUACUGGGAAGCUAGAGUAUGGGAGAGGAUGGUAGAAUUCCAGGUGUAGCGGUUAAAUGCGUAGAGAUCUGGAGUAAUACCGAUGGCGAAGGCAGCCAUCUGGCCUAAUACUGACGCUGAGGUACGAAAGCAUGGGGAGCAAACAGGAUUAGAUACCCGGGUAGUCCCUGUCUCUUAUAA